Molecule: long non-coding RNA, 439 nt
Organism: Rhineura floridana
Lineage: Eukaryota; Metazoa; Chordata; Lepidosauria; Squamata; Rhineuridae
Exons: 3
Source: RefSeq, a predicted model, not a curated record
GAAAGACCAGGUUUCUUGGGAAGGCAGCAGUUGUCCAGGAAGGGGAAAGAGCUGCCUCAGAGGAUGCAAACCUCCCAGUCUCUUUUGGGCCUUUUCUGGAAUAACAACUCUCGAGCAGGCUCUAGGAAGCUGACGAUGGACAGCUUCCCAGGUAUUGCAGCCUUCACCCCGGAUUAAAGUGGCAGCCCAGUAUUCUGGAGGCAUUUUUGACAAUCUCCCUCUUCUUGAUAAUCCUGGAACUUCAAUGGAACUUAAUCCCAAGCAAGUGUGCAUAGGAUUUCAGCCUUACCACAGCCACCAAAAAUGGCACUAUUAAGAAGAGUGUUGAGCUACUAAAAGAAUUAACGUUGAUUGAUUGAUUGAUAUCCCGCCCUUCCUCCAGCAGGAGCCCAGGACAGUUUAAGACAGGAAAUUAUAAGAGGUCAAAGGGAAAAUUAAC